Molecule: transfer RNA, 85 nt
Filed under: Pseudomonadota bacterium
Lineage: Bacteria; Pseudomonadati; Pseudomonadota
Also listed under: 1 other name
Description: tRNA-Leu
Rfam family: tRNA
About the family: Transfer RNA (tRNA) molecules are approximately 80 nucleotides in length.
Source: RNAcentral
GCCGAGAUGGCGGAACCGGCAGACGCGCUACGUUCAGGGCGUAGUGGAUAAUAGAUCCGUGAGGGUUCAAAUCCCUCUCUCGGCA